RNAcentral lists this ribosomal RNA (378 nucleotides) under uncultured eukaryote. Its description in RNAcentral is "partial 18S ribosomal RNA". It matches the Rfam family "Eukaryotic small subunit ribosomal RNA", at positions 592 to 976 of the family's 1831-position model. The record is from RNAcentral.
CAAUAGCGUAUAUUUAAGUUGUUGCAGUUAAAAAGCUCGUAGUUGGAUUUCGGGUGGGACGCAGCGGUCUCGCAUUGCGUUUGUACUGCUGCAGCCCUCCUUCUUGCCGGGGGCGGCCUCUCGGACUUCACUGUCUGGGGGUCAGAAUCGGCGAUGUUACUUUGAGUAAAUUAGAGUGUUCAAAGCAAGCUUACGCUCUGAAUAUAAUAGCAUGGGAUAACACGACAGGACUCUGGCCUAUCGUGUUGGUCUAUAGGACCAGAGUAAUGAUUAGGAGGGACAGUCGGGGGCAUUCGUAUUCCGUUGUCAGAGGUGAAAUUCUUGGAUUUACGGAAGACGAACAUCUGCGAAAGCAUUUGCCAAGGAUGUUUUCAUUGA